AUUGAACGCUGGCGGCAGGCCUAACACAUGCAAGUCGAGCGAGCGGCGGACGGGUGAGUAAUGCCUGGGAAUUGCCCAGUCGAGGGGGAUAAGAGUUGGAAACGACUGCUAAUACCGCAUACGACUGUCUUGCUCAGGGGGGGUUAGUUAGUUGGUGAGGUAAUGGCUCACCAAGGCGACGAUCCCUAGCUGGCCUGAGAGGAUGAUCGGCAACACUGGGACUGAGACACGGUCCAGACUCCUACGGGAGGCAGCAGUGGGGAAUAUUGCACAAUGGGCGAAACCCUGAUGCAGCCAUGCCGCGUGUGUGAAGAAGGCCUUCGGGUUGUAAAGCACUUUCAGCGAGGAGGCGUUACUCGAAGAAGAAGCACCGGCUAACUCCGUGCCAGCAGCCGCGGUAAUAC
RNAcentral lists this ribosomal RNA (404 nucleotides) under uncultured bacterium. Its description in RNAcentral is "partial 16S ribosomal RNA". It matches the Rfam family "Bacterial small subunit ribosomal RNA", at positions 30 to 526 of the family's 1533-position model. The record is from RNAcentral.